Arachis ipaensis is the source of this 1103-nucleotide non-coding RNA. Lineage: Eukaryota; Viridiplantae; Streptophyta; Magnoliopsida; Fabales; Fabaceae. The record is from RefSeq and is a predicted model, not a curated record.
UUUCCCCCUCCCUCCCAAAAUCCCGAUUAUUCCCUUGUAACUUAGGGAAAAAAAAAAGAACCCUAGCCGUUUCGAGCUUCUUCUUCUUCUACCUCCUUCCUGCGCCAUUUCCCUUCCUCUCUUCACUGCGCCAUUUCCCUUCCUCCUAGCCCCCACCAUCGCCGAGCUCAACUCAGCCUCGCCUCAUUGCGGCGUUUCCCUUCCUCCUAGUUUCCACCAUCGCCGUUUUCCUUCCUCCCAGCCCCCAACAUCGCCGAGCUCAACUCAGUCUCUCUUCACUGCACCGUUUCUGUUCCCCACACCCCCAACCAUCAUCGAAGGUAGAGACCGCACCAUCGCCGAGCUCAAUUCAGUCUCUCUUUAUUGCGCUGUUUCAGUUUUUUCCACCCCGACCUUCGUCGAAAGUAGAAACCCUACCAUCGCUGAGCUCAACUCAGUUUCUGUUCACAGCGCUGUUUUCCUUCCUCACAUCCCCCACCAUCGCCGAAGGCAGAAACCCCACCAUCGCCAAGCUCCUAAGGAGUUUGCAACCAUGCUUUUCACUUCCAUUGCAUAAGCAGAUUGCUCAAGAUCCGUCAAGUUUGCCCUCUAGGUACAUAUCUAGGUUUUUGCCGUGACCAUAGAUUAACAUAUGGUCACGGUUAGAAACUGUGGCCUAAAGUGUCAAAAUUUGAAAAUUGUAACUGUGACCAUAAAAAUCAUGAUCAUAGAUAAAAAAAAUCAUAAUCAUAAACUUAUAGCCACGUCAAAAUAGGCCACGGUAAAAAACCGUGACUAUAAGUCCAAAACCAUAACCAUAAAUCUAUGAUCACCCUUUACCGUGACCAUAGGCCUUUUUUUUUUUGUAGUGUAUGAUCAUAUAGAAUUACCUACAAAAGUUUUGGAGGGAACCACAGCCCUAUCGUCUCAACAAAGCUUCACCGAUGCUUGUCACUUGUCACUUGGCAUAGUAAAAUUAGGUCAUAUAAAACAUAGUUUCAGACUUCUUCAAGUUAAGAUAGUAGUAGACAAUUUACUGCAUUUCUAGUAAUUAACAUUAUUAUAUUAUGUAUCCAAAAUGGACGGUGAUUCGGUGAAUAAUGCCACGUUCGCUUCACAUGCAA